AGCUCGUGCCGUGAGGUGUCCGGUUAAGUCCGGCAACGAGCGAGACCCCCACCCCUAGUUGCUACCCGAUCCUUCGGGAUCGGGGGCACACUAGGGGGACUGCCGGCGUAAGCCGGAGGAAGGAGGGGGCCACGGCAGGUCAGUAUGCCCCGAAACCCCGGGGCUGCACGCGAGCUGCAAUGGCGGGGACAGCGGGAUCCGACCCCGAAAGGGGGAGGUAAUCCCGUAAACCCCGCCCCAGUAGGGAUCGAGGGCUGCAACUCGCCCUCGUGAACG
RNAcentral lists this ribosomal RNA (276 nucleotides) under uncultured Vulcanisaeta sp. RNAcentral's name for it is "partial 16S ribosomal RNA". It matches the Rfam family "Archaeal small subunit ribosomal RNA", at positions 1006 to 1281 of the family's 1478-position model. The record is from RNAcentral. Lineage: Archaea; Thermoproteati; Thermoproteota; Thermoprotei; Thermoproteales; Thermoproteaceae.